This 684-nucleotide ribosomal RNA is filed under the name Clavicorona taxophila. RNAcentral's name for it is "LSU rRNA". It matches the Rfam family "Eukaryotic large subunit ribosomal RNA", at positions 32 to 694 of the family's 3401-position model. The record is from RNAcentral. Lineage: Eukaryota; Fungi; Basidiomycota; Agaricomycetes; Agaricales; Clavariaceae.
ACUUAAGCAUAUCAAUAAGCGGAGGAAAAGAAACUAACAAGGAUUCCCCUAGUAACUGCGAGUGAAGAGGGAAGAGCUCAAAUUUAAAAUCUGGCAGUCUUAUGUCUGUCCGAGUUGUAAAUUAGAGAAGCGUUAUCCGCGCUGGCCUGUGCAAAAGUCUCUUGGAAAAGAGCAUCAUAGAGGGUGACAAUCCCGUCUUUGGCACAGACUACCAGGGCUUUUGUGAUGCGUUCUCGAUGAGUCGAGUUGUUUGGGAAUGCAGCUCUAAAUGGGUGGUAAAUUCCAUCUAAAGCUAAAUAUUGGCGAGAAACCGAUAGCGCACAAGUACCGUGAGGGAAAGAUGAAAAGAACUUUGAAAAGAGAGUUAAACAGUACGUGAAAUUGUUGAAAGGGAAACGCUUGAAGUCAGUCGUGUCCUUCAGAAAUCAACCUGACUUUCGUUGGGCGUACUUUCUGUUGGAUGGGUCAGCAUCAAUUUUGAUCGUUGGAUAAAGGCCUCGGGAAUGUGGCAUCUUCGGAUGUGUUAUAGACCUUGGUUCGCAUACAAUGGUUGGGAUUGAGGAACUCAGUGUGACUUAUGUUUGGGGCUUCGGCCUACACUACGCACUUAGGAUGCUGGCAUAAUGGCUUUAAUCGACCCGUCUUGAAACACGGACCAAGGAGUCUAACAUACAUGCGAGUGUU